Molecule: ribosomal RNA, 253 nt
Filed under: uncultured bacterium
Lineage: Bacteria
Description: partial 16S ribosomal RNA
Rfam family: Bacterial small subunit ribosomal RNA
Source: RNAcentral
UACGUAGGGGGCUAGCGUUGUCCGGAAUCAUUGGGCGUAAAGCGCGCGUAGGUGGCCUCGUAAGUCCGCUGUGAAAGUCAAAGGCUCAACCUUUGAAAGCCGGUGGAUACUGUGAGGCUAGAGUACGGAAGAGGCGAGUGGAAUUCCUGGUGUAGCGGUGGAAUGCGCAGAUAUCAGGAGGAACACCAAUAGCGAAGGCAGCUCGCUGGGACGUAACUGACACUGAGGCGCGAAAGCGUGGGGAGCGAACAGG